Molecule: long non-coding RNA, 227 nt
Filed under: Ananas comosus (pineapple)
Lineage: Eukaryota; Viridiplantae; Streptophyta; Magnoliopsida; Poales; Bromeliaceae
Description: long non-coding RNA (ACOM_LNC015712)
Source: RNAcentral
UUUUUUUUUUUUUUUUUUGAGAGAGAUAGGUAGCGCGCUACCCGCUUCGUUUAUUUCAUUUAGAAAUAAACUUAGCUGGAAAUGUGAAUCAACUAGGAUUCGAACUUGGAACCUCGGGUACCAACCACCAAGUCCUUUGCCACUUGCUCUAAGGACGGUCGGUGAUACCUAGCAGCUAGUCUAUCAAUUUAUGGUGUAAAGUAUAUUUUUUAAAUCUACUCUUUUUU